Molecule: ribosomal RNA, 336 nt
Filed under: Triticum aestivum (bread wheat)
Lineage: Eukaryota; Viridiplantae; Streptophyta; Magnoliopsida; Poales; Poaceae
Description: partial small subunit ribosomal RNA
Source: RNAcentral
AUGAAUUCUCUCUCUCUAUGUCGUCCAUUCUUGUAUAUGGCACAGGCUUUUGUUUUUUUGAUCGAACACUGCACAGACUUUUAUUUUUAUUUUAUCGAACACAGGCUUUUAUUUCAAGUGGUGGAGCAAGGUCAUGAAUAUAAAGCUUUUAUUCUCGAGUGGUGGUGGAAUGCAAUGGAACGGAAACGAAUUCAGGCAACACAACACGUAGGGAACUCAAAAAAUUUGUCUGAAACUUGCGCAGAUGCGGGUCGACGCACUGAAGAAAUGAAAAUUGUGCAGGUGGUUCGAGACACGCUGCAUGCUGCUACAAAAAAAGAAAUGAAAUCUGUCUGA